This 763-nucleotide long non-coding RNA is filed under the name Monodelphis domestica (gray short-tailed opossum). Its description in RNAcentral is "lncRNA (ENSMODG00000031751.2)". The record is from RNAcentral. Lineage: Eukaryota; Metazoa; Chordata; Mammalia; Didelphimorphia; Didelphidae.
AUACUACUGGUAACACAGUAGUAAGGCCACGGGAAGUCUGAAGGAGAAAAGAAAUUCAUCUUUAUGGCAUCUAAGUGCAAGAAGAGCAUCUAUAAACCUGCUUUUUAUUAGCGGGAUCAUCAUGCUGUCAUUUGCUCACAGCCUGCAGAUAGUCCUGGGUCCUCAGACGCCUGGAGGAUAAGCACACAAAUCCAUUCUAGCCAGAACCCAGCUGUGUAAGCCCAGAGGUCCUGGAAUGUAAAUGCAACCAUCAUUUCAGGCAUUCCAUUUCAAGAAUCCCUGGAUGGAGUGUUACUGGUGGUAGCUUUGCUCCAUUGAAAUGGAACUCAGGUCUGCCAGCAAGUGUAGGGCCAGGAGGCUUGUUUCUUCAUACAGCUGCCCUGUCAGCCUCAAAUGAAGAGAAGAUUACAGUCUGGGAGGAACACAAGAAAUGCUUAGUGAUAUGUAGCAGGAGCAAACUCCAGAUCCACAUCUCUAGAGGCCAUUGUAAAGGAAGUAAAACUACUCAGUCUGAAGUCACCGUCUUAAGGUAUGUCCUUUCAAGCACAUUCAAGUUUGAGGAGUUUGUCUAUAGUCAUAUCCUGUUUCAUGUGGAUGUAUGCACAUGUAUGCCACUUUUUAAAGGAAAUUCUUUGUGGGUAUUCUAUAAAACUUCAAGUCUGGGAAAGAGCCUGCCUGAUCCAAUAGGAUCAAAAGGAAGAAUAAAAUAGUUCCUUUUCGAAGUCAAGUGCUCAUUUUGUUGAAGAAUGUAAUGUAUGGACUA